GGUUGAGGUUCACAACUGACGAUGUUAAGUGAAUGUGAUGAUAAAUAAUAAGAGAAGCCAAGAGUUAUGCAAGAUAGAGACGUUCGUCAACGAGGCCUGGUAUUUAGUGGGAAAUCCAUUUUGAAAAGCUUAGGAAACCCCAAGGAUUAAACUAAACAUAAGCCAUUUUUGUUGGCACUUCCACCUUAAUAAAAGAAAUCUAGUGUCUAUUGGAGAUGUGUUUCACUAACACUGGCCAUUUACAACUAGCUUUUUUUGACACUCAGUCUUUGGCAAGUGUUAGUGUGAAGACCCUACUUUGUCGGCAUUGAACUAAUACUGUUUUUUUUUACAGUUAGUGUUUCGGUUUCCCGUUGGUAGGUGGCGUAAAGGAUAUUUUUAUUUUUUUUAUUAUUUCCAUUUUUAGUUCAGAGGUGGCGUCAAGGAACUUUUUUAAGCUUCCUAUUGUUUCUGUUUGUCGUUCAUAGGUGGAAAGAAUGUUUUUCCAAAAUGGCUCACUUUGCGGUCCAUAGGUGGCGCAUUUGUUUUUUUUAAUGGUCCCGUUAAUUAGCGUGCGCGAAAUGUUUCGACUUCCCGUUCAUAGGUGGAAGACAAGUACGAACCAUGUCACACUGACUUGAGAGCAUAGUAAAGUGUUACUCAUGUCGCUUAUAUAACGAGUGGCACGUUAAUAAUCUUGUAAUGCCAAUGCUUUCUCCCUCAGCUCUUUGCUAUGAUCAUUGUGGGUUGGAUUAAAGAGCAAAAUCCACAGAGAAACUGAAAUUCAUUAUUGUCAUGUCAUUACAUCAUCCAUUGUUUUCAGAAAUAGGAGCAGUACAAUUGGCAGCCAUAAAGCUUUGUAGUUUCGAAGAAUUUUAGUUUUGUCUGGUGAGUGGUUUAUAAUGUUGCCCAUUCUAUUGUUAACUUUUUUUGUAGGUUAAUGCCAUAAAACAUUUAUUUUGAGACUUUGAGUACCGCCUAUCCUUAUAACAAUGGAACACUAAUGUUGACUACAUUGCAGAAACAAAAAUGAACAUAUGUGCAACAGGUAUUUUUUGUGAAAUGAAACGAAGUUUUUAUUGAUUUCAGAUUUGCUGUUAAAAUGUUUAUUGUUACCUUGCGAAAAAGUGUGCUCAUUCGUUAUAGUAUUCUAAAAAUAAUUCUGUAAUUGAUGAAUGCUAUGAAGGUGA
This is a long non-coding RNA of Daphnia carinata, 1169 nucleotides long. RefSeq lists it as uncharacterized. The record is from RefSeq and is a predicted model, not a curated record. Lineage: Eukaryota; Metazoa; Arthropoda; Branchiopoda; Diplostraca; Daphniidae. The transcript is spliced from 3 exons.